Molecule: long non-coding RNA, 356 nt
Filed under: Pollicipes pollicipes
Lineage: Eukaryota; Metazoa; Arthropoda; Thecostraca; Pollicipedomorpha; Pollicipedidae
Description: uncharacterized LOC119102135
Source: RNAcentral
GGCGCUCCGAGCCCCAGCGGCCGCGCGCGGGCCGUGACGAGCCCCGCGACGAUGAGUGGCGCGAGAACGCCGACUUCUGGCGCGUCAAGCCGGCCGAGGGCGAACGAGACCCCACCUCCAAGAAAUCGGCGGACAAGCGUGACGCCAAAGACGAGGAAGAUACUAAGUCCGACACCAAACGCACGAAAGAUUCCGACGAGGGGCCAGUCAAAACAAGCCGGACAGAGCUUGACGAAGUACAACCUUUGAAGAAAGAGGAACGGCGCAAGAUAAAACUGAAACGCAACACAAGUGCCGGAGAAAAACGGCCGGAGCCCACCGAGGCGGCGCCGGAGCCGGCUGGGGACGCUGCGACG